This 3141-nucleotide long non-coding RNA is filed under the name Canis lupus familiaris (dog). Its description in RNAcentral is "lncRNA (ENSCAFG00845000190.1)". Lineage: Eukaryota; Metazoa; Chordata; Mammalia; Carnivora; Canidae. The record is from RNAcentral.
CCGCGGCUCGAGGCCGCGUUCGCCGCGGAGCGGGCGUCUGGUGCGCGGCCUGUGGCGACCCUCGAGCUGCCCGGGCUGAGGCAGCUGGAGGCCUGGCGGUUGCCUCCCGCCCGCGGCUCCGCGUACCAGCCGCUCGGCGUCGGGCCUCGCGGUUCUGUUUGGCGCCGGGAAGCGGUAGAGCAGCACGAGCCCGGCUUCCGCGCUGAGGGGACGCGGGAGGCCGGCGGUCCGCUCCCGGGCCGCAUUUCCCGGAGGGCUCUGCGGGCGGACGCUGCGCUCCUCGGGUUCGGCCGCUUUGCGGGAAGGCGGCACCUUAGCUGCUGCGGGGCCUUUGGAGUCUGGUGCAACUUGGCCCGUUUGGACCAGACCGGAACCUGGGAAGGACUGGGGUGAGGGGUUCAGCCCUAGCCGUGGGAUAAUGGGACGGUCUCACUGAAUGAAGGUUUGUUUGCAGCAACAGGAAUAUUCAAGAUGAAGGGAUUGGUGAUGUUCAGGGAUGUGGCUGGUAGACUUCUCUCAGGGGAAGUGGGAAUGCCUGGACCCUGCUCAGAGGGAUUUACACAAAGAUGUGAUGGAGAACUAUAGCAACCUAAUCUUACUGGUUAGGAGCCCUGGAUGGUUUUGAGGAACAUGGGAGGAUGGUGUCCAGGUUUGGAGGCCAGGUGUGAUACAAAGACAUUAUCUCCAGAAGAGAACAUUUUUGAAAUAAACUUAUACAAACAGAAGAUAAAGAAGUAAAAUGCCUGAUAUUGAAGGUUCCAUUAUCUAAAGUAGCAGAAGAACAAAAUCAAGAUUGAGAAACAAGAGCCUCAAGAAGAUUUCAGCCAAUUGAAAAUCAUCCAUGAAUAUAUAUCUACUCACAGAAAUAUUAUGAAUGUAAGGAAUGUAGAAAUAUCUUUAAUUAGGGCUCAGACCUAAUCAAACAUUAGAGAAUUCACACUGGUGAGAAGACUUAUACAUCUAAGGAAUGUGGGAAGGCCUUUAGGCUUCAGGGACAACUCAACAUCUGAAAAUUUAUAAAUAUCUAGAAUGUGGGAAGGCUUUCAGUUUUGGCAGAGAUCUUAGAAUACUGGUGAGAAAUCCUAUGAAUGAAAGACUUUUAGUUUGGGCAGGUAUGUAAGAGUCCACCAAAAAAAUACUGGCAAAAAACCCUAUGAGUGUAAGGAAUGUUGGAAGGCCUUUAGAAUACAUUAGCAUCUUACUCAACAUCAAAAACUCAUAGAACUGUGAAACCCUAUAAAAGUAAAGAAUGUAGGAAAGCUUUUAGUUUUGUCAAAGACCUUAAAAUAUACCAGAAUACUCAUUUUGGUGGGAAACCCUAUAAAUGUCAGGACUGUGGGAAGACCUUCAGUUCUUUGAGAUACUUUAGAGUAUACCAGAAAAUUCGUAUUUAUGAAAAGCCCUAUGAAUGUAAGGAAUGUGAAAAAUCAUUUAUAUUGCAUGAACAGCUUAGUUGACAUAAAAAAUUCAUAAAGAUGAGAAAUCUUAUGAAUGUAAGGAAUGUAGAAAAGCCUUUAGAUUGCAUUCACACCUUAAAAGUCAUCACAGUAUUCAUACUGGUAAGAAGCCCUAGGAAUGUAAGAAAUGUGGCAGGCCUUUAGACAGAAUUCAACUUAACCAACAUCAGAGCAUACACACUAAAGAGAAACCCUACAAAUAAAUGUAAGGAAUGUGAGAAUGCCUGUAGAUGGAGUUCAACAUUUAAUCAACAUCAAAAAUGCAUACUAAGGAGAAAUUCUGAAUUGAAAGUAUAUGGAAAGGCCUUUCAAUUUCAUCAAAUUCUUACAGAGCAUCAGAUAUUUCACAAUGCUAAGAAACCAGUCCUAUGAAGUGAGGAGUGAUGUGAGAAGGCCUUUAGAUAAAAUGAACAUCAGUGAAUAUAAAGAGAAACUCUGAAUGUAAAGAAUGUGGGCAUGCCUUUAGAUUUUGUUUAUACCUUAUUGAGCAUCAGAGAAUUUAUAAUGGUGAAAAACUCUCAAAAGGUAAGAAAUGUAUGAAGCCCAAUAUUCUGCCACUAUCAAAUCUGAGAACUCAUAGCCUUACGGAGUUAUUAUAAAAGUGUUUUUUUUUUUUAAUUUUUAUUUAUUUGUGAUAGUCACAGAGAGAGAGAGAGAGAGAGAGAGAGAGAGAGAGAGAGGCACAGGCACAGGCAGAGGGAGAAGCAGGCUCCAUGCACCGGGAGCCCGACGUGGGAUUCGAUCCCAGGUCUCCAGGAUCGCGCCCUGGGCCAAAGGCAGGCACCAAACCGCUGUGCCACCCAGGGAUCCCUAAAAGUGUUUUAAAAAAACAGUACUUUUUCUUUUACUCCACUCUUCAUAGAAUAUCAAUACUAGGGGAAAAUGUUUAGGAAACCCUUUUCUGGGGGGGUCAUUCUUACAACUUAUUUGGCAUAAAAGAUUUCAUACCAGGUGUCUUAAUCUAUUGAAUAUAUAAGACUUCUAAAAUCACUCAGUUCCUGUUGAAUGUUAGCAGAUUCACACAGAAUUUCUUACUCUAUUGGUUGUACAACUGAAGGAAAGCCUUUAGUCACAGCACAUACUUAGCCUAUCAUCAUCUUCAAGAUAUUCAACAAUAUACUUAUUAGCUUUGUGCCUCAGUUGUAAAAUGGUGAAGUUAAUACCUAUCUAACAGUGUUUUUGUAAGGAUUAAUACUUGUAAACCCUUGGGUUUUUUUUUUUUUUAAGAUUUUAUUUAUUUAUUCAACACAAAGAAAGAGGCAGAGACAUAGGGAGAGGCAGGUUCCCUGUGAGGAGCCCGAUUCAGGACUUGAUCCCAGGACCACAGGAUCACGACCUGAGCCAAAGGCAGAUGCCCAACCACUGAGUUACCCAGGUGCCCCUACCUGUAAACCCUUGCAAGAUUAUUUGGCAACUAAAGAUUAGCUACUGUUCUUCUAGUGAUAAUAGUAUAACUGUUAGUGAAUUCUUAUGAAAGAAUCUAUAUUGGUAGUCAACUUAGCAUCCAAUCACCACCCAUCUACUAUUGAACUUCACAUAGCUGAUUCUGAAUAAAUUAUCAUAGAAUAUAAGGAAUAUGGGGGUGCCUGGCUGGCUCAGUCAGGAGAGAACACAGCUCUUGAUCUUGGGGUCAUGAAUUCAAGCCCCACAUUGGGUGUAGAGAUUACCAAAUAAACCAAAAAAA